Molecule: ribosomal RNA, 253 nt
Filed under: uncultured bacterium
Lineage: Bacteria
Description: partial 16S ribosomal RNA
Rfam family: Bacterial small subunit ribosomal RNA
Source: RNAcentral
UACGUAGGUGGCAAGCGUUGUCCGGAAUUACUGGGCGUAAAGCGUGCGCAGGCGGUCCGCAAAGUCUGAUGUGAAAGCCCCGGGCUCAACCUGGGAACUGCAUUGGAAACUAACGGGCUCGAGUGUGGCAGAGGGGGGUGGAAUUCCACGUGUAGCAGUGAAAUGCGUAGAGAUGUGGAGGAACACCGAUGGCGAAGGCAGCCCCCUGGGCUAACACUGACGCUCAGGCACGAAAGCGUGGGGAGCAAACAGG